UAAACAAGAUAGGUAUUCCUCAGUAGCUGGUCGAACCCACGGCAAAUGGAUCAUAAAGUCUUAAAAAAAGAAUAGAUACGAUUGCAUUGCAUGUAGUAACAGAUGCGAUCAUACCAGCACUAAUGCACCGGAUCCCAUCAGAACUCCGCAGUUAAGUGUGCUUGGGCGAGAGUAGUACUAAGAUGGGUGACCUCGAAGAAUGUCCUCGUGUUGCAUCCCUC
RNAcentral lists this ribosomal RNA (221 nucleotides) under Arabidopsis thaliana (thale cress). The record is from RNAcentral. Lineage: Eukaryota; Viridiplantae; Streptophyta; Magnoliopsida; Brassicales; Brassicaceae.